UAGGGAAACCGAGUCUUAACCGGGCGUUAAGUUGCAGGGUAUAGACCCGAAACCCGGUGAUCUAGCCAUGGGCAGGUUGAAGGUUGGGUAACACUAACUGGAGGACCGAACCGACUAAUGUUGAAAAAUUAGCGGAUGACCUGUGGCUGGGGGUGAAAGGCCAAUCAAACCGGGAGAUAGCUGGUUCUCCCCGAAAGCUAUUUAGGUAGCGCCUCGUGAAUUCAUCUCCGGGGGUAGAGCACUGUUUCGGCUAGGGGGCCAUCCCGGCUUACCAACCCGAUGCAAACUGCGAAUACCGGAGAAUGUUAUCACGGGAGACACACGGCGGGUGCUAACGUCCGUCGUGAAGAGGGAAACAACCCAGACCGCCAGCUAAGGUCCCAAAGUCAUGGUUAAGUGGGAAACGAUGUGGGAAGGCCCAGACAGCCAGGAUGUUGGCUUAGAAGCAGCCAUCAUUUAAAGAAAGCGUAAUAGCUCACUGGUCGAGUCGGCCUGCGCGGAAGAUGUAACGGGGCUAAACCAUGCACCGAAGCUGCGGCAGCGAACGUAUCACCCAAGACAACUUUACGGAGUUGACGAUUGACGGAGCGAAGCGACGUCAAAGCGUUCAUUAAAGUCGAGUUGGCUUAGGGAUACGUUCGUUGGGUAGGGGAGCGUUCUGUAAGCCUGUGAAGGUGUGUCGUGAGGCAUGCUGGAGGUAUCAGAAGUGCGAAUGCUGACAUAAGUAACGAUAAAGCGGGUGAAAAGCCCGCUCGCCGGAAGACCAAGGGUUCCUGUCCAACGUUAAUCGGGGCAGGGUGAGUCGACCCCUAAGGCGAGGCCGAAAGGCGUAGUCGAUGGGAAACGGGUUAAUAUUCCCGUACUUGGUGUUACUGCGAAGGGGGGACGGAGAAGGCUAUGUUGGCCGGGCGACGGUUGUCCCGGUUUAAGCGUGUAGGUGUGUGUUCCAGGUAAAUCCGGUUCACUUUAACACUGAGGCGUGACGACGAGGCACUACGGUGCUGAAGCAACAAAUGCCCUGCUUCCAGGAAAAGCCUCUAAGCAUCAGGUAACACGAAAUCGUACCCCAAACCGACACAGGUGGUCAGGUAGAGAAUACCAAGGCGCUUGAGAGAACUCGGGUGAAGGAACUAGGCAAAAUGGUGCCGUAACUUCGGGAGAAGGCACGCUGACACGUAGGUGAAGUGAUUUACUCAUGGAGCUGAAGUCAGUCGAAGAUACCAGCUGGCUGCAACUGUUUAUUAAAAACACAGCACUGUGCAAACACGAAAGUGGACGUAUACGGUGUGACGCCUGCCCGGUGCCGGAA
This 1309-nucleotide ribosomal RNA is filed under the name Salmonella enterica subsp. enterica serovar Typhimurium. RNAcentral's name for it is "partial 23S ribosomal RNA". It matches the Rfam family "Bacterial large subunit ribosomal RNA", at positions 669 to 1874 of the family's 2925-position model. Lineage: Bacteria; Pseudomonadati; Pseudomonadota; Gammaproteobacteria; Enterobacterales; Enterobacteriaceae. The record is from RNAcentral.